RNAcentral lists this ribosomal RNA (381 nucleotides) under uncultured eukaryote. RNAcentral describes it as "partial 18S ribosomal RNA". It matches the Rfam family "Eukaryotic small subunit ribosomal RNA", at positions 591 to 976 of the family's 1831-position model. The record is from RNAcentral.
CCAAUAGCGUAUAUUAAAGUUGUUGCAGUUAGAACGCUCGUAGUCGGAUUUCGGGGCGGGCCGACCGGUCUGCCGAUGGGUAUGCACUGGUCGGCGCGUCCUUCCUUCCGGAGACCGUCCCUACUCUUAACUGAGCGGGGGCGGGAGACGGGACUUUUACUUUGAAAAAAUCAGAGUGUUUCAAGCAGGCAGCUCGCUCUUGCAUGGAUUAGCAUGGGAUAAUGAAAUAGGACUUUGGUGCUAUUUUGUUGGUUUCGAACACCGAAGUAAUGAUGAGAAGGGACAGUCAGGGGCACUCGUAUUCCGCCGAGAGAGGUGAAAUUCUCAGACCAGCGGAAGACGAACCACUGCGAAAGCAUUUGCCAGGGAUGUUUUCACUGA